AGGACGAACGCUGGCGGCGUGCUUAACACAUGCAAGUCGAGCGGAAAGGCCCUUCGGGGUACUCGAGCGGCGAACGGGUGAGUAACACGUGAGUAAUCUGCCUUCAGCUCUGGGAUAGCUCCGGGAAACCGGGAUUAAUACCGGAUAUGACCACUUCGGACAUCUGUUGUGGUGGAAAGUUUUUCGGCUGGAGAUGAGCUCGCGGCCUAUCAGCUUGUUGGUGGGGUAACGGCCUACCAAGGCGACGACGGGUAGCCGGCCUGAGAGGGCGACCGGCCACACUGGGACUGAGACACGGCCCAGACUCCUACGGGAGGCAGCAGUGGGGAAUAUUGCGCAAUGGGCGGAAGCCUGACGCAGCGACGCCGCGUGGGGGAUGAAGGCCUUCGGGUUGUAACCCCUUUCAGCAGGGACGAAGCGGAAGUGACGGUACCUGCAGAAGAAGCGCCGGCUAACUACGUGCCAGCAGCCGC
Molecule: ribosomal RNA, 473 nt
Filed under: uncultured bacterium
Lineage: Bacteria
Description: SSU rRNA
Rfam family: Bacterial small subunit ribosomal RNA
Source: RNAcentral